RNAcentral lists this ribosomal RNA (619 nucleotides) under Bacteroides ovatus. RNAcentral describes it as "bacterial SSU rRNA". It matches the Rfam family "Bacterial small subunit ribosomal RNA", at positions 67 to 680 of the family's 1533-position model. The record is from RNAcentral. Lineage: Bacteria; Pseudomonadati; Bacteroidota; Bacteroidia; Bacteroidales; Bacteroidaceae.
GGGCAGCAUUUUUCUAGCAAUAGAAGAGAUGGCGACCGGCGCACGGGUGAGUAACACGUAUCCAACCUGCCGAUAACUCCGGGAUAGCCUUUCGAAAGAAAGAUUAAUACCGGAUAGUAUACGAAUAUCGCAUGAUAUUUUUAUUAAAGAAUUUCGGUUAUCGAUGGGGAUGCGUUCCAUUAGUUUGUUGGCGGGGUAACGGCCCACCAAGACUACGAUGGAUAGGGGUUCUGAGAGGAAGGUCCCCCACAUUGGAACUGAGACACGGUCCAAACUCCUACGGGAGGCAGCAGUGAGGAAUAUUGGUCAAUGGGCGAGAGCCUGAACCAGCCAAGUAGCGUGAAGGAUGAAGGCUCUAUGGGUCGUAAACUUCUUUUAUAUGGGAAUAAAGUUUUCCACGUGUGGAAUUUUGUAUGUACCAUAUGAAUAAGGAUCGGCUAACUCCGUGCCAGCAGCCGCGGUAAUACGGAGGAUCCGAGCGUUAUCCGGAUUUAUUGGGUUUAAAGGGAGCGUAGGUGGAUUGUUAAGUCAGUUGUGAAAGUUUGCGGCUCAACCGUAAAAUUGCAGUUGAAACUGGCAGUCUUGAGUACAGUAGAGGUGGGCGGAAUCGUGGGUAGCG